CUUUGGUGACAUAGGUAGCCAAAUCAAUUCUCUUAAGCCUUUUCACAUAUCACAACUCGGGAUGUUACAAUUCACCCCCUCUCAAAGAAUGCAACGUCCUCGUUGCGCCCACGACAGGUCUCAAGACGCCUCUCGGGUCAGAACCGAGAUGGCUAACCAGCUCUGAUACCACUGAUAACGCCCCGACCCGCCCACGGCUAAUGGGCCACCCACGCCCGCUCUCUCGGCCCGUGGGCCCCAUCCCGUCUGACGGUCGGUCCGUUAAUUUUCCAAAGGCUCGAAAUCAUUGUUUACUGACCCUGCAAUCACCACCCGACCUUUCCCCAUGCUUUGGCCUCACUCGCACGCUAUCGCGAAUCACUUCCCGAUAGGUCACCCAUCCUUCCACUACUCCAGGUCAAGCACGCUUAACUCUGGAGUUCUUUCAGGAUGUGUUCCGAAAAAGGUUAAGUCAACUUUGGUGACAUAGGUAGCCAAAUCAAUUCUCUUAAGCCUUUUCACAUAUCACAACUCGGGAUGUUACAAUUCACCCCCUCUCAAAGAACGCAACGUCCUCGUUGCGCCCCACGACAGGUCUCAAGACGCCUCUCGGGUCAGAACCGAGAUGGCUAACCAGCUCUGAUACCACUUAUAACGCCCCGACCCGCCCACGGCUAAUGGGCCACCCACGCCCGCUCUCUCGGCCCGUGGGCCCCAUCCCGUCUGACGGUCGGUCCGUUAAUUUUCCAAAGGCUCGAAAUCAUUGUUUACUGACCCUGCAAUCACCACCCGACCUUUCCCCAUGCUUUGGCCUCACUCGCACGCUAUCGCGAAUCACUUCCCGAUAGGUCACCCAUCCUUCCACUACUCCAG
This 852-nucleotide long non-coding RNA is filed under the name Brassica rapa (field mustard). RNAcentral describes it as "long non-coding RNA (BRAP_LNC001134)". The record is from RNAcentral. Lineage: Eukaryota; Viridiplantae; Streptophyta; Magnoliopsida; Brassicales; Brassicaceae.